This 387-nucleotide ribosomal RNA is filed under the name uncultured bacterium. RNAcentral's name for it is "bacterial SSU rRNA". It matches the Rfam family "Bacterial small subunit ribosomal RNA", at positions 30 to 447 of the family's 1533-position model. The record is from RNAcentral.
AUUGAACGCUGGCGGCAUGCCUAACACAUGCAAGUCGAACGAGACCUUCGGGUCUAGUGGCGCACGGGUGCGUAACGCGUGGGAAUCUGCCCUUAGGUUCGGAAUAACUUCGGGAAACUGAAGCUAAUACCGGAUGAUGACGUAAGUCCAAAGAUUUAUCGCCUAAGGAUGAGCCCGCGUUGGAUUAGCUAGUUGGUGAGGUAAAGGCUCACCAAGGCGACGAUCCAUAGCUGGUCUGAGAGGAUGAUCAGCCACACUGGGACUGAGACACGGCCCAGACUCCUACGGGAGGCAGCAGUGGGGAAUAUUGGACAAUGGGCGCAAGCCUGAUCCAGCCAUGCCGCGUGUGUGAAGAAGGCCUGGUGUAAGCGACUUCAGUCGAGGAGG